GAAAUGCGAUAAGUAAUGUGAAUUGCAGAAUUCAGUGAAUCAUCGAAUUUUUGAACGCACCUUGCGCUCCUUGGUAUUCCUUGGAGCAUGCCUGUUUGAGUAUCAUGAAAUCUUCAAAGUAAAUCUUUUGUUAACUCAAUUGGUUUCUACUUUGGUAUUGGAGGUCUUUGCAGCUUCACACCUGCUCCUCUUUGUUCAUUAGUUGGAUCUCAGUGUUAUGCUUGGUUCCACUCGGCGUGAUAAGUUAUCUAUCGCUGAGGACACUGUAAAAGGUGGCCAAGGUAAAUGCAGAUGAACCGCUUCUAAUAGUCCAUUGACUUGGACAAUACUUUUAUGAUCUGAUCUCAAAUCAGGUAGGACUACCCGCUGAACUUAAGC
Molecule: unclassified non-coding RNA, 378 nt
Filed under: plant metagenome
Description: partial contains 5.8S ribosomal RNA, internal transcribed spacer 2, and large subunit ribosomal RNA
Rfam family: 5.8S ribosomal RNA (bases 1-105)
Source: RNAcentral